This 465-nucleotide ribosomal RNA is filed under the name uncultured bacterium. RNAcentral's name for it is "partial 16S ribosomal RNA". It matches the Rfam family "Bacterial small subunit ribosomal RNA", at positions 28 to 507 of the family's 1533-position model. The record is from RNAcentral.
GACGAACGCUGGCGGCGUGCUUAACACAUGCAAGUCGAACGGAAAGGCCCUGCUUGCAGGGUACUCGAGUGGCGAACUGGUGAGUAACACGUGGGUGAUCUGCCCUGCACUUCGGGAUAAGCCUGGGAAACUGGGUCUAAUACCGGAUAGGAGCCAUUUUUAGUGUGAUGGUUGGAAAGUUUUUUCGGUGUAGGAUGAGCUCGCGGCCUAUCAGCUUGUUGGUGGGGUAAUGGCCUACCAAGGCGGCGACGGGUAGCCGGCCUGAGAGGGUGGACGGCCACAUUGGGACUGAGAUACGGCCCAGACUCCUACGGGAGGCAGCAGUGGGGAAGAUUGCACAAUGGGCGCAAGCCUGAUGCAGCGACGCCGCGUGGGGGAUGACGGCCUUCGGGUUGUAAACUCCUUUCGCUAGGGACGAAGCUUUUUGUGACGGUACCUAGAUAAGAAGCACCGGCUAACUACGUG